Molecule: small nucleolar RNA, 80 nt
Filed under: Suricata suricatta (meerkat)
Lineage: Eukaryota; Metazoa; Chordata; Mammalia; Carnivora; Herpestidae
Description: Small nucleolar RNA SNORD77 (ENSSSUG00005013799.1)
Rfam family: Small nucleolar RNA SNORD77
About the family: U77 belongs to the C/D family of snoRNAs.
Source: Rfam by way of RNAcentral
AUACUAUAAUGCCAAGUCCUUCCUCUUAUUAGCUGAUAGCUGUAUAUUGUGAAGUAUUGUAGAAAAAGUCUGAUGUAUCU